This is a non-coding RNA of Pelobates cultripes (western spadefoot toad), 124 nucleotides long. The record is from the annotation of a GenBank genome assembly. NCBI's taxonomy places the organism in Eukaryota, Metazoa, Chordata, Amphibia, Anura, Pelobatidae.
UGCGCUGGCUCUGCUCUCCCGCCCUCAUGCGCUGCUGAAUGAGACCAGCGCCGGAAUAUGACGUCAUAUUCCGGCGCCGGUCUCAUUCAGCAGCGCGCGAGGGCGGGAGAGCAGAGCCAGCACA